GUGUUUGCUUCAGCAGCGCAUACAAGAAAACUGGAACGAUACAGAGAAGAUAAGCACGGACCCUGGGCAAGAAUGGCAUGCAAAUUCAUGAAGCAUUUCGUAUUUUU
Molecule: small nuclear RNA, 107 nt
Organism: Arvicola amphibius (Eurasian water vole)
Lineage: Eukaryota; Metazoa; Chordata; Mammalia; Rodentia; Cricetidae
Source: RefSeq, a predicted model, not a curated record